RNAcentral lists this ribosomal RNA (464 nucleotides) under Streptococcus sanguinis. RNAcentral describes it as "bacterial SSU rRNA". It matches the Rfam family "Bacterial small subunit ribosomal RNA", at positions 28 to 474 of the family's 1533-position model. Lineage: Bacteria; Bacillati; Bacillota; Bacilli; Lactobacillales; Streptococcaceae. The record is from RNAcentral.
GACGAACGCUGGCGGCGUGCCUAAUACAUGCAAGUAGAACGCUGAAGAGAGGAGCUUGCUCUUCUUGGAUGAGUUGCGAACGGGUGAGUAACGCGUAGGUAACCUGCCUGGUAGCGGGGGAUAACUAUUGGAAACGAUAGCUAAUACCGCAUGAAAUUCAUUGUCGCAUGAUAAUUAAUUGAAAGAUGCAACUGCAUCACUACCAGAUGGACCUGCGUUGUAUUAGCUAGUUGGUGAGGUAACGGCUCAUCAAGGCGACGAUACAUAGCCGACCUGAGAGGGUGAUCGGCCACACUGGGACUGAGACACGGCCCAGACUCCUACGGGAGGCAGCAGUAGGGAAUCUUCGGCAAUGGGGGGAACCCUGACCGAGCAACGCCGCGUGAGUGAAGAAGGUUUUCGGAUCGUAAAGCUCUGUUGUAAGUGAAGAACGGGUGUGAGAGUGGAAAGUUCACACUGUGACG